RNAcentral lists this ribosomal RNA (1026 nucleotides) under Salmonella enterica. RNAcentral describes it as "partial 23S ribosomal RNA". It matches the Rfam family "Bacterial large subunit ribosomal RNA", at positions 161 to 1226 of the family's 2925-position model. Lineage: Bacteria; Pseudomonadati; Pseudomonadota; Gammaproteobacteria; Enterobacterales; Enterobacteriaceae. The record is from RNAcentral.
AAUCCAUAGGUUAAUGAGGCGAACCGGGGGAACUGAAACAUCUAAGUACCCCGAGGAAAAGAAAUCAACCGAGAUUCCCCCAGUAGCGGCGAGCGAACGGGGAGGAGCCCAGAGCCUGAAUCAGCAUGUGUGUUAGUGGAAGCGUCUGGAAAGGCGCGCGAUACAGGGUGACAGCCCCGUACACAAAAGCGCAUGUGCUGUGAGCUCGAUGAGUAGGGCGGGACACGUGGUAUCCUGUCUGAAUAUGGGGGGACCAUCCUCCAAGGCUAAAUACUCCUGACUGACCGAUAGUGAACCAGUACCGUGAGGGAAAGGCGAAAAGAACCCCGGCGAGGGGAGUGAAAAAGAACCUGAAACCGUGUACGUACAAGCAGUGGGAGCACCCUUUGGGGUGUGACUGCGUACCUUUUGUAUAAUGGGUCAGCGACUUAUAUUCUGUAGCAAGGUUAACCGUAUAGGGGAGCCGGAGGGAAACCGAGUCUUAACCGGGCGUUAAGUUGCAGGGUAUAGACCCGAAACCCGGUGAUCUAGCCAUGGGCAGGUUGAAGGUUGGGUAACACUAACUGGAGGACCGAACCGACUAAUGUUGAAAAAUUAGCGGAUGACCUGUGGCUGGGGGUGAAAGGCCAAUCAAACCGGGAGAUAGCUGGUUCUCCCCGAAAGCUAUUUAGGUAGCGCCUCGUGAAUUCAUCUCCGGGGGUAGAGCACUGUUUCGGCUAGGGGGCCAUCCCGGCUUACCAACCCGAUGCAAACUGCGAAUACCGGAGAAUGUUAUCACGGGAGACACACGGCGGGUGCUAACGUCCGUCGUGAAGAGGGAAACAACCCAGACCGCCAGCUAAGGUCCCAAAGUCAUGGUUAAGUGGGAAACGAUGUGGGAAGGCCCAGACAGCCAGGAUGUUGGCUUAGAAGCAGCCAUCAUUUAAAGAAAGCGUAAUAGCUCACUGGUCGAGUCGGCCUGCGCGGAAGAUGUAACGGGGCUAAACCAUGCACCGAAGCUGCGGCAGCGACGCUGAUGCGUUGUUG